CUUCCUGACACUUCUGGGGUCAAAAAAUACAAAAAACACAAAUCAGAAAAUGGGUAGCAUGUUCUAUAUGUACUGCACGUCUUACAGUUUUACUCUAAAUUCAUAAGAAUUGAUAUAUCCAUGCUCUGUCCACACAUGUGCUCCUUUAUAGAGAAAACCUAUAUAUUACAAAUACCUAGUCGGGCAUAAAGAGAUAUAAUAGAUACCAGCUGUGAUAAUUUCAGCCGUAGACUAGAAAAUGACAGUUCCAUAACAAACUUUAAGUUGGCUUGAAAAAGGUCAAUUAAACAUUAAAACAUUAAAACCAAAAAAAAAACAAAUCUAAAUAACUAAAGCAUUUUAAAUAAAUGGCUUAAAUCCAGUGUUAGAUAAAGAGAAGGAAAUAAAGAAACAUACAGAGAAAGAGUGGGACAAAUAAAGAAAAAAUAGAGAAAUAGAGAAAAAAAAAACUAUUAAAAAGUUAGUGACAGGUAGAGAGAGACAUAUACACAGUGAAAGAGAGUGAAGUAGAGAGAGAGACAUACAGAGAGAAAGAGAGAAAAAAGUAGAGAGACAUACAGAGAGAAAGAGAGAGAGAGAAAAAAAUCGUAGAGAGAGAGACAUACAGAGAAAAAGAGUGAGAAAAAGUAGAAAGAGAAAAAAGAGAAACAGAGAGACAUAUACAGAGAGAAAGAGAGAGAAAAGUAGAGAGAGACAUAUACAGAGAGAAAGAGAGAGAAAAGUCGAGAGAGACAUAUACAGAGAGAAAGAGAAAGAAAAGUAGAGAGAGACAUAUACAGAGAGAAAGAGAGAGAAAAGUAGAGAGACACAUAUACAGAGAGAAAGAGAGAGAAAAGUAGAGAGAGACAUAUACAGAGAGAAAGAGAGAGAAAAGUAGAGAGACACAUAUACAGAGAGAAAGAGAAGUAGAAAGAGAAAAAAGAAAAACGUAGAGAGACGUAUACAGAGAGAAAGAGAGAGAAAAGUAGAGAGAAAUAUAUACAGAGAGAAAGAGAAAAAAAAGUAGAAAGAGAAAAAAGAGAAACGUAGAGAGCAUGGAGCAUGGAUAGGUCAAUUAGCAUAAACAAAUUCAAAAUUAAAGUAAAAUUACUGAAAUUUGUAGUUAAUACAGUAUUCUUACUUGAGUCUCUACUGAAAAUUUGGGCUAAAUUGUUUAGAAGUGUAAAAGAAUAAUAUGUGUAUAAAUAAAUGUAUUUUAUUGGAAUAUUAAGUUGCAUAAUGAUGUAUGAGGAUUUCUUUAUUUCGAACAGUUAUAAUCUGUCUUAUCUGUGAUAGUUACUCUACUCAUAACGGUCCCUGUCUGUCAUAUUCUUCACUAAACAAUCAUUUGGAUCUAAAGUUUUAGGUGUUUUCUACAUCCAAAUAAUAGACCCAUAUUUACUUUUAUAUAUAUUUAUAUGAUGUGAUUGGGAGUCCUGGUCUCUUAUCUGUCAGGCCUCUCAGAGUAAUAAUGCACCUUUAACACUAAAAUAACACUAAAAGAAUGAAAUGAACUGAAGCGAUCUGAUCUUAGAUCAGUAUUCUUACUCUGAGAUGACUGAUAAUGAUGGGUCCUGAUCUUAGAAUACCACUCUGAAACACGUAAUGUGGGCUAAUAUUGUCUUACUGAUGUUAGCAAUAAAAUUGUAACGUGUAGUAGGGAAAGUAAUAGGGGAUAGUCAGGCACAACCUAACAUUUUUUUCUAAGCAAUUUGCACAUUUCUGACAAAAACAACGGAUAUCAAUGCAAAUAGUUGUACCAGUCACUGGAUAAGUUAGGAAAAUUGAUGCAAGCAAUUUGGAAGAAUUAAUUGGAUACAAACCAGACAAAACUACACAGUAAUUAAGAACAGCAUGAUAAAAUAGGGACU
This is a long non-coding RNA of Astyanax mexicanus (Mexican tetra), 1850 nucleotides long. RefSeq lists it as uncharacterized. The transcript has 2 exons. The record is from RefSeq and is a predicted model, not a curated record. NCBI's taxonomy places the organism in Eukaryota, Metazoa, Chordata, Actinopteri, Characiformes, Acestrorhamphidae.